CGUAGGGUGCGAGCGUUAAUCGGAAUUACUGGGCGUAAAGCGUGCGCAGGCGGUGAUGUAAGACAGAUGUGAAAUCCCCGGGCUCAACCUGGGAACUGCAUUUGUGACUGCAUCGCUGGAGUGCGGCAGAGGGGGAUGGAAUUCCGCGUGUAGCAGUGAAAUGCGUAGAUAUGCGGAGGAACACCGAUGGCGAAGGCAAUCCCCUGGGCCUGCACUGACGCUCAUGCACGAAAGCGUGGGGAGCAAACAGGAUUAGAUACCCUGGUAGUCCACGCCCUAAACGAUGUCAACUGGUUGUUGGUCCUUCACUGGAUCAGUAACGAAGCUAACGCGAGAAGUUGACCGCCUGGGGAGUACGGCCGCAAGGUUG
Molecule: ribosomal RNA, 370 nt
Filed under: uncultured organism
Description: bacterial SSU rRNA
Rfam family: Bacterial small subunit ribosomal RNA
Source: RNAcentral